UACGUAGGGUGCGAGCGUUGUCUGGAAUUAUUGGGCGUAAAGAGCUCGUAGGCGGUCUGUCGCGUCGGUCGUGAAAACUUGGGGCUUAACCCUGAGCUUGCGGUCGAUACGGGCAUGACUGGAGUUCGGCAGGGGAGACUGGAAUUCCUGGUGUAGCGGUGAAAUGCGCAGAUAUCAGGAGGAACACCGGUGGCGAAGGCGGGUCUCUGGGCCGAUACUGACGCUGAGGAGCGAAAGCGUGGGGAGCGAACAGG
This 254-nucleotide ribosomal RNA is filed under the name uncultured bacterium. RNAcentral's name for it is "partial 16S ribosomal RNA". It matches the Rfam family "Bacterial small subunit ribosomal RNA", at positions 524 to 776 of the family's 1533-position model. The record is from RNAcentral.